Molecule: long non-coding RNA, 1650 nt
Organism: Ostrea edulis (European flat oyster)
Lineage: Eukaryota; Metazoa; Mollusca; Bivalvia; Ostreida; Ostreidae
Exons: 9
Source: RefSeq, a predicted model, not a curated record
AUUUUCUACUAGCCUUUCUUAACAUUUCAUGCUUCUAGUUGAAAACCAUACUUCAAUUUUGAGUAAUUAUACUUCUUUCAGAAGAUGAAUCAUGAUGAUCCCUUUGAUCUCAAAAAGCCAAAGAAAUCAGAGAAAAAGGGAAAAUGUCCUAGCAUGAUGAGAAAAUAGCGAACAGUGCUAUUGCCUCACAUAGAGAAACCAGUAAGGAGAAUGAUGCAUUUUCAGGGAAAAUGUCCAAGCAUGAUGAGAAAAUAGGGAACAGUGCCAUUGUCUCACUUAGAGAAGCCAGUGAGGAGACUGAUGCAUUUUCAGGGAAAAUGUCCAAGCAUGAUGAGAAAAUAGGGAACAGUGCCAUUGUCUCACUUAGAGAAGCCAGUGAGGAGAAUGAUGCAUUUUCAGGGAAAAUGUUCAAGCAUGAUGAGAAACUGCGCCAUUGUUUCACUUACAGAAGCCAAUGUUGAGGAUGAUGCAUGUUCAGGGAAAUGUCUAAGCAAGGGACAGGAUAUUGCAGUCAAUGACUGUGAUUCAUCUUAUAAUGCAAAAGUUGGAGAUACGCUCCUGCAGACAGUGACACUGAUACAGAAGAUGUGAAGGAUUAUAUGCUUUUAGGUAUGAACAAAGUUGUGGUCAACUACAGAAGAAAGACAUCAGAAAUGGAGAGAGAAAAAAAGAUCUCAGUAAAAGAGAUCAGCUUGUAUUUCAGACAUUCUUUUCUGUAAAUUUUGACACUUUACCUGAUUGUUACUACAUGUGUAUAAAAAUCCAUGUCGUUUUGAAAGAGAGAGUGAGUGAUCGACUUGACAAGGAAUUCACUUGACAAGGAACUGGUGUUUAACGAAUAAUGAUGAAACCACAGUACCAAUAAUGAUUCAUCACACUUGUCAGAAAGGUCUCUUUUAUAUAGUUUAUACUGACAAAAUUUUGGUCUGGUUUCCAACAUUGCAAACAUACUUUGUAAUAUGGAAUACAUGUAUAUAGCUUUAAAUCAAUUUCAUUUAUUUAUUUUUUUUAGUGAAGGACCCUGAUUAUGAACCAGACCACUGCUCCGACAGUGAUUCAGACUCUAAUUGAAGAAAACCAAGAUGAUCUUCCUGACAGUUUUAGGAAAGUGACCUCAUGAUAGAAGUUUCAGAAUGUCCUACCAUUGAUCCUGGAAGUGAAAAAGUAUCUGAUAGUGAAGAAAGCUACGGUAGCAUAGAGAGUGAAAACUAUCCCAUGCUCUCUGGAAAGAAAGAAAAAGACAUUUCUUUUUAAGCCAUAAGGUGUUCCCAAAAAUUCAAUUGGAAACUUUAACAAACUGCAUGCCUGCUUUUUUGUGAUAAGAUGAUUGCUAACAUUGCAAGACAUCUUGAACUAGCACACAAAGCAGAAAUUGAAGUAGCUAGGGUUUUAGCUUUCCUCCCAAAAAGUAAAGAAAGGGGAUAAAUGAGGGAGGAACUUCAAAGUAUUAAUGUGUGUAUUAUGUAUAAAUUUAUUUGAUGUAAUCACUAGUAAAACCGAUUUUGCUUAAUAUACAUUAUUUUCUAUGCACUGCAUAAUUAUGUAGAUGCAAUAACUGGGACUUAACAUUUGAAAAGAAGUUGUUUGUGAUUCUUUGCAAUUGUACGAUGAACCCGUAAGUUACAUCAUUAAAUAUAAUGCUAGAUUCAA